CGGGGCGUAGCGCAGUCCGGUAGCGCACCGCGUUUGGGACGCGGGGGCCGGCGGUUCGAGUCCGCCCGCCCCGACCA
RNAcentral lists this transfer RNA (77 nucleotides) under Chloroflexota bacterium. RNAcentral's name for it is "Chloroflexi bacterium (anaerobic digester metagenome) tRNA-Pro". It matches the Rfam family "tRNA". From Rfam's summary of the family: Transfer RNA (tRNA) molecules are approximately 80 nucleotides in length. Their secondary structure includes four short double-helical elements and three loops (D, anti-codon, and T loops). Further hydrogen bonds mediate the characteristic L-shaped molecular structure. tRNAs have two regions of fundamental functional importance: the anti-codon, which is responsible for specific mRNA codon recognition, and the 3' end, to which the tRNAs corresponding amino acid is attached (by aminoacyl-tRNA synthetases). tRNAs cope with the degeneracy of the genetic code in two manners: having more than one tRNA (with a specific anti-codon) for a particular amino acid; and 'wobble' base-pairing, i.e. permitting non-standard base-pairing at the 3rd anti-codon position. Lineage: Bacteria; Bacillati; Chloroflexota. The record is from RNAcentral.